Bos taurus (domestic cattle) is the source of this 480-nucleotide long non-coding RNA. NCBI's taxonomy places the organism in Eukaryota, Metazoa, Chordata, Mammalia, Artiodactyla, Bovidae. The record is from Ensembl.
GUCAGCCCCUCCCAGACUGUACUUGGAAGGUGAAGACACUCAUCAUUUGCCAGCAUGUUUCUGAGACUUUAUUUUUCUUCAUUUUCCAAAGAUGAAAACCAAGCAAAAAGCAGAGGCAUCAGUUUUUCUCUACAAGCUGACUUGUAGAAACAUUUGUAGAGACACUCCAACCAAUCCAGUGGAAGCAUUUCCUUUACUUGGAUGGAUGAACUCCAUUCAUUCAAGGAUGGUCAUGGGAACUGUCGGAGCCAAGGAGGUGCAAAGGUACUUUUGGUGAGCAUAAAGAGGUGCUGGCCAUGUGCAAUCCAGGUAUCAGGCCCUCACCAGACACUGGAUCUCCUGAUGCCUUCGUCUCAUAUGUUCCCAGUCUCUAGAAUUGUGAGAAACACAUGUUGAUUGUUUAAGCUACCCUGUCUAUAGUAUCCUGUUAUAGUGUCUUUAGAAGAAAACUAAUAAACUGAAUAUUCCUGUGAGUGAGGG